Molecule: ribosomal RNA, 201 nt
Filed under: uncultured bacterium
Lineage: Bacteria
Description: partial 16S ribosomal RNA
Rfam family: Bacterial small subunit ribosomal RNA
Source: RNAcentral
GCAGGCUGCAACUCGCCUGCAUGAAGCUGGAAUUGCUAGUAAUCGCGGAUCAGCAUGCCGCGGUGAAUACGUUCCCGGGUCUUGUACACACCGCCCGUCACACCAUGGGAGUCGGAAAUGCCCGAAGUCUGUGACCCAACCUACGGGAGGGAGCAGCCGAAGGCAGGUCGGAUGACUGGGGUGAAGUCGUAACAAGGUAGC